UCUUCAAUAGCUCAGUGGUAGAGCGAAUGGCUGUUAACCAUUCGGUCGUUGGUUCGAAUCCAACUUGAGGAG
RNAcentral lists this transfer RNA (72 nucleotides) under Prototheca zopfii. Its description in RNAcentral is "tRNA-Asn". It matches the Rfam family "tRNA". Rfam says of the family: Transfer RNA (tRNA) molecules are approximately 80 nucleotides in length. Their secondary structure includes four short double-helical elements and three loops (D, anti-codon, and T loops). Further hydrogen bonds mediate the characteristic L-shaped molecular structure. tRNAs have two regions of fundamental functional importance: the anti-codon, which is responsible for specific mRNA codon recognition, and the 3' end, to which the tRNAs corresponding amino acid is attached (by aminoacyl-tRNA synthetases). tRNAs cope with the degeneracy of the genetic code in two manners: having more than one tRNA (with a specific anti-codon) for a particular amino acid; and 'wobble' base-pairing, i.e. permitting non-standard base-pairing at the 3rd anti-codon position. Lineage: Eukaryota; Viridiplantae; Chlorophyta; Trebouxiophyceae; Chlorellales; Chlorellaceae. The record is from RNAcentral.